This 358-nucleotide unclassified non-coding RNA is filed under the name Calvatia cyathiformis. Its description in RNAcentral is "partial internal transcribed spacer region". The stretch from base 1 to 46 matches the Rfam family "Eukaryotic small subunit ribosomal RNA", at positions 1786 to 1831 of the family's 1831-position model. Lineage: Eukaryota; Fungi; Basidiomycota; Agaricomycetes; Agaricales; Lycoperdaceae. The record is from RNAcentral.
AAGUCGUAACAAGGUUUCCGUAGGUGAACCUGCGGAAGGAUCAUUAUUGAAUAUUCUUGAUGGGUUGUAGCUGGCUCUUCGGGGCAUGUGCACGCCUGUCUUGACUUUAUUCAUCCACCUGUGCACCUUUUGUAGUCUUGGGGGUUGAGAGCAGUCAAUAAUCGGAUGACCAUUUGGUCACUCCGGGUGUGAGGAAUGCUGAGUGCGAAAGCAUACAGCUCUUCUCAAAGUGACUUGUAAUCCUCUCCUUCAAGUACUAUGUAUUCAUAUACCCAUAGUAUGUUGUAGAAUGUGAUCAAUGGGCCUAAGUGCCUAUAACAAUCAUAUACAACUUUCAGCAACGGAUCUCUAGGCUCUC